UAAAAGCACUUCUCAUUUAUUUGAGACAAUAAAGCAGUUUAUUUUUUGUUUGGCUGACUCAGAUUUCAUUGAUAUUUCUUACAUGAUAACAGUGACAAAUGAAGAAACAACCUGAAAGCAUUUCGCAGCGCAACUGGUAUGAAAAUCUCAUCGUUGCAGGGCUAUACCUUCUAUUUACUUAGGGCUUUGUAUCAGAAACUUAAAUUGCCAAUGUUUUACCACACUGUUUCAAACAACAUGGCAACCGUCCCAAAGCCUUGGAGAAAAUACUUUAAAUCUCAGAAGACAUUUUUGAUGUUGCUCAGAACCUGUACAGAACUUCUCAUUAACCACUUUGAAACUAUUUAAUCGAUAAAGCUUUAAGGUAGGCACUUUAAUAUUGGGAACAGGCAGCAAGGGUCGAGUUGCCAAUAAACAGCGUACAGGACACACGGGACCCUGUCACUUUCUAAAAAUGGGUGCAGAAGCAAAUGACAGCUGUUGGAGGGCAGGCAGGAACAGAGGAACACACGCAGGGUCUGUCCCUUAGUGCUGCCUGCACAGGAGCUAUGGGCCACAGAGCACAGUGUGAAUCCACCAGGUAAGGAACGCAAGGAUUUCCUCUACUACAAAGAGUGAGUUGGCAGUUUAAAGUCUAUACACUUAGAAGAUAGAUAUCAUUAAUAGAAAUGGUGCUGACAGAGGAAGUGAGAAGGGAAAAAAAUGAGCAAAGGAAAUACAGCCAACGGUUUCUAUUCAGGAGGCUGCAAAUCUGCCUUCCUCUGCGUUCACAUAAGGCUACAUGUGGCUUUUGGUUUAUGGAUUCUAUACACUAUUUAAGCUCCACCUCGUGAAAGCACUUAAACAUACCUGGCAGUAUUUACAUCCUCCUGAAAUUACUGAGACUGUAGCAUCUGUGAUUUUUAGGUGCUCACUUGUCAAAUUGGUACCUAGAAUUACACUUAGGAAACAUGCUGAUGUGUGUGAAGCUCCUCUGCGCCCACAUGACUACAAGCUAAGGCAUCCCACACAUUUGCAGUUCAAAAGCCGGGCUGUUCACAGCUGGAAAUGGGCCUGGGCAGCUCACCUUCGUGCUGCACGCCAUUUCACAUGCUUGCUGCUUACGGCUGAGCUUCACCUUGAACCACAUGAGCGGUGCUGCAUUCUUACUUCUUGAAACGCACUGUAACAGAGACGCCAAAGUUUUACCCUCAGCUCAGCGUCGUAUUUUGUCGUGCAGGAAGAUCGAAGUCUCUCACAUUUCUCUGCCCUGGCCCCACCGGCACCCUCUGUGUCAGGCUCCAUCCCUGCAGCCCACAAGCCUCUCAGCAUCCUCCCCGAGCCAACAGGACAGAGCACUUGGCAACUCCCUAACCAGUCACCCCUAGGAGGUUAAGCACGCGUCGCGGAUAACUCGUGCUUCGCAGCCUGCUCAUCCACACCGCGACUCCGUGUGAGAGAAACACCACCACGGCAGCGCGCACCCGCGGCAGCCAAGCUGACCCGGAGGCGUAAGGCAGCGCGUAGCCGCCGCGGCGCGAGAAGGGUGUGAGAACAAAGUUCGGAGCGCCGCGAUCACAGCGCAGCACCGCACAGCACGCUGAGUGCUGCCGGAACUCCGCGCGCGCCGCUGGCGGUGAAACAAACCCCCUCACAGCAGUUUCCCCCGCGAGGAGCAUAUCCGCACGCGGCUGCCGAGGGCCUCCCGGGAAGGACGAAGCGCAGCUGACGCGCUCCCGAGCAGCUGGGAGCCGGCACGGGCUCCGCG
RNAcentral lists this long non-coding RNA (1747 nucleotides) under Gallus gallus (chicken). RNAcentral's name for it is "lncRNA (ENSGALG00010021285.1)". The record is from RNAcentral. Lineage: Eukaryota; Metazoa; Chordata; Aves; Galliformes; Phasianidae.